AUUUUAAGGCCAGAUUUUCUUAGUUCCCUAUUGGCAGCAGAGUAUGCCAGUUGAAUGGUCUUUACUUUGCCAAAUUGCAAAAAGGCAGCUUCAUCAUGCUACCUCCAAACUAAAUCUUUCCCGUUCUUCAGAAUCUCUGAAUCUCAAGCUGUUUGUUCCAGGUUGUCUGUGAUUUUCUAUUUAUAGGGUACCAACACACCAAACCUGAUAUCAUCUUCAAGUUGGAACAAGGAGAAGAGCUGUGUAUGGUGCAGGCCCAAGUUCCAAAUCAGACCUGUCCAAUUUUGAAGGCUGGAAAGUCCAAAGCCAAGGUGCUGGCAGGUUUGGUGUCUGGUGAGGGCCUGCUCUGUGCUUCCAAGAUGACGCCUUGUUGCUGCAUCCUCUGGAGACACAGUCUGGAAAAUUGAUGAUCUUAUGGAUUGGCAUCAGGAAAAUAAAGACAAACUGGGAAGUAUGGCAAAAAGCUUUGAAUGCACUACAUUUGGAAAACUAUGUCUUCUUAGUACAAAGUAUCUUUCAAGACAAAAACCUCGUAAAUGUGGCACGCAUGGAAAG
This 555-nucleotide small RNA is filed under the name Pan troglodytes (chimpanzee). RNAcentral's name for it is "retained intron". Lineage: Eukaryota; Metazoa; Chordata; Mammalia; Primates; Hominidae. The record is from RNAcentral.